This 1548-nucleotide long non-coding RNA is filed under the name Homo sapiens (human). RNAcentral's name for it is "HSALNT0199477". The record is from RNAcentral. Lineage: Eukaryota; Metazoa; Chordata; Mammalia; Primates; Hominidae.
CACGACCAGCCGGAACUCCCACUCAGAGAAUGUACAACUCCUCUGCCACAACGUGAGGGAGAGAAGUCUGCAGACGGCUGACUGGUGACGACUGAACAAGACGGAAAGGCAAGUCGCUAUGCCCGAAGCCUUUGAAGGGAGCCAGCAGGGUCCAUGGGAGGUUCAGGACACAUAUCUGCAGCCCUGCUUCUGGCCCCACCCUUGGGGAAGCCUUUUGCAGGUGAUCCUGGGCCUCUGCUGGGGAAGGCCCCAAGAGGUGAAGCAUCCUCUGCAGAGGAGAGAGCACAUCCGGAAGUAGAAGACAGACCACUGUCUGGGCUCCGUUUAACUGCUGUGAUUUGGGAUUGUAACUUACUCCCGUAAAGCCUCAGUUUCCCACAUGGAAAAUCAAAUCGAUCAUUGUUAUAACAUUUCACUUUUUUGUUAUGUGAUGUAAUUUACACAGUGCUUUCGUAUACGUUAUCCAAUUUAGCGAAAUAAUACAGAGCAAUGCAUUUUGAAAAGAAUAAAAUGCUUAACAUAUGUGAGGAAUUCUUUUUUCCUUUGAAAACUACUCCGGAUGGCUUGGCUAUUGUUUAGUUAAGAGAAUUAUACAAUUUUUGAGACAUGGUUCCUUAUCUUGUGUAGGCUGAAAGGCAAUUAAACAAUUAUUCAUGUCAGAAUCUGAGGUAAAUAAAAGGCUGCUUCAAAGAGUCCACUUACGGAGUGAAAAGCAGUUGAGUAGAAACAGAGAGUGGUCUGUAAUUUCCUUCUGGAAGGAAUAUCCACUCCAUAUGGCCUGAAGCAAGAAUUUCAAACUCCUCUGUGGGGAGAAAGAGACAGAAAUAAAAACUUUUAAGUUUUUUUACUCCGAUUUGUCCCAGCCAUUUUCUGAACAGCCUAUGGAAGCCAUCCGCUCCUCUAAACAAAAAUAAGCUAAGAGACAGAAAGAAUGAUUUGAUUUCCGUGUGUAGGGAUGGUUCAGUCAUAAAUCAGUGUAUUUUUUCCAAGAGGAAGGUGCCAGCAACAAAAGUUGGUCAUAAAAAGGACAUUAAACUUUAGUAGUCUCUUCACUGUUCCCUCCCACAUCCAGUUGCCAACAGCAGAGACAACUGUGAGACACAGUGAAAUGAAGUGACUGCUCCACUGCUGGGCAACAGGAGACCCGGAUGCCAGGCUCCCUGGCAGAAGAAAUAGAAAGUCAAUAGCAAACACAGAUGUCUUCCUCCCUACCACAUCACCUCCACUUUUCACCAUCGCCUGUGUGAUACAACCACCCCGCAAUGCCUUCCUCAGCCUUUUACUUCUGUUUCCAGUGAGUCAAGAAAAACUUCUCCAGCUUGCCCUGUGGAGAUGAAUGAGCCCAUAAUCCACUUACACGUGUGACCUUUACACAGCCAGGACCCCCAUAGAGCAGCCAAACAUGCAGUCUUGUAAACAAAAGGAAUUUCAAGAUAACUCUGAUCUUUCACUAAUUAUCCCAAAGCCCAAAGGGGAUCCAUAUACAUAGUCCGAAGCCUACUUUAAGGAGGCAUCCUCCCCUGUGUAUUCCCAGCCCAUCCCAUAGUU